UUUUUAUUUUAUGUUUUGUUCAUUUGCAAUCACAGAGAUUCUGUGCCCUCAAUAAUUUUGUAUCUUCCUUGCUGGUUUCCUGUAUCGUACAAAUCCCAAGGCUUCUAUUUUUUUUUGACAAAGAUCCGUUGAAGCAGAUUACUACAGUGUAGCCAUUGGUGCCCUGUUUUCAAAUGUCAUUGAUUUCUGACAUUACUAGUCCACCUCAAAAAGCUUG
Molecule: small RNA, 217 nt
Filed under: Vigna angularis var. angularis
Lineage: Eukaryota; Viridiplantae; Streptophyta; Magnoliopsida; Fabales; Fabaceae
Description: Non-protein coding transcript
Source: RNAcentral